GCGAGAGUGGCGAAAUUGGCAGACGCGCAAGAUUCAGGUUCUUGUGGAUGACUAAAAGUCCAUAAGGGUUCAAGUCCCUUCUCUCGC
Molecule: transfer RNA, 87 nt
Filed under: Oscillospiraceae bacterium
Lineage: Bacteria; Bacillati; Bacillota; Clostridia; Eubacteriales; Oscillospiraceae
Description: tRNA-Leu
Rfam family: tRNA
About the family: Transfer RNA (tRNA) molecules are approximately 80 nucleotides in length.
Source: RNAcentral